GCUCAACUUGAGAGUUUGAUCCUGGCUCAGAACGAACGCUGGCGGCAUGCCUAACACAUGCAAGUCGAACGAGAAGUAUCCUUCGGGAUAUGGACAGUGGCGCACGGGUGAGUAACGCGUGGGGACCUACCUUUCAGUAUGGAACAACCGUUGGAAACGACGAUUAAUACCAUAUACGACCUUUUUAUUGAUUUAGGGGGGUGAAAGAUUUAUCGCUGAGAGAUGGACCCGCGUUGGAUUAGAUAGUUGGUGAGGUAAUGGCUCACCAAGUCUGCGAUCCAUAGCUGGUUUGAGAAGAUGAUCAGCCACAUUGGGACUGAGACACGGCCCAGACUCCUACGGGAGGCAGCAGUGGGGAAUAUUGCACAAUGGGCGCAAGCCUGAUGCAGCAAUGCCGCGUGAGUGAAGACGGCCUUAGGGUUGUAAAAC
RNAcentral lists this ribosomal RNA (429 nucleotides) under hydrothermal vent metagenome. RNAcentral's name for it is "bacterial SSU rRNA". It matches the Rfam family "Bacterial small subunit ribosomal RNA", at positions 1 to 431 of the family's 1533-position model. The record is from RNAcentral.